GGUUGUAUAGCUCAAGUGGAAGAGCGCAUGUUUAGCAUACAUUAGGUCCUGGGUUCAGUCCCUGGUACCUCCU
This 73-nucleotide transfer RNA is filed under the name Camelus bactrianus (Bactrian camel). It matches the Rfam family "tRNA". From Rfam's summary of the family: Transfer RNA (tRNA) molecules are approximately 80 nucleotides in length. Their secondary structure includes four short double-helical elements and three loops (D, anti-codon, and T loops). RNAcentral also lists the same sequence under 1 other name. The record is from Rfam by way of RNAcentral. Lineage: Eukaryota; Metazoa; Chordata; Mammalia; Artiodactyla; Camelidae.